CUCUGUGAUCUAAAAAUGUCUCCUGAGACACACAAUAAUCCUAGCUGAAUGCAGAACUCUGGAGACAUGAGAGUGAAGCCACAGGCCAGGAAGCCGACAGUAGUGCAGCUAACACUUAGAAUACCUGGAAGGGAGUGGCCUACUGUGGAUUCUGAGCCUCUGUUAGCCAUGACAGUUCCAGAAGCCUUCAGGAAAGUCUAGGACAGGUUAGGAUUACCAUCUCUUUUCAUGGCUGGGGGCACCCAAAGGUGUGUCUACUCCUAUGGGGAGGAAGGACUGCAAGUCCCAUUCUCAGCAGCCCAAGAAGGGAAUAAGUGCCAGGGCUUCUCUGAUUGGCACCUUCGGUCCACAGGUCAGCCCUCACUCAUACCCACAGUUCUGUGUCCAUGCUGAGGGUUUGUCGGGGGCUGAGCAGAGUGCCAAAACCAGAGCAGGCACAGACCAUCAGGAACGCCUGAGGCUGGAACUACACCUAGCAGGUAUGAGGGACAGAGACUUGAGGCCGAGAGAUGCCAUCUCUUCACCAACACUGCUACCUCUGAGGCCUGCCCCUGGCUCCUCAGUGUCAGAAAGGAGACCCCACCAUGUGGCCUCCUGACUCAAGGAGGCUACAAGCCCUAGAGUAGGGAUGUCAAGUACACAGCAUUUAGGCUAGCACUGUCUGGGAGGAAUGUAUUGCUAGCUACAUGUGGAAUUUUAUACUUCCUAGUUACAUUAAAGAAAAAACAUCAUGUUUAAUAAAAAGUUUUAUUCAAUCCAAUACUCUCAGAACACUCAACACUCAAUAAACACUCAUCAAUGAGUCACUAUGAA
Mastomys coucha (southern multimammate mouse) is the source of this 813-nucleotide long non-coding RNA. RefSeq lists it as uncharacterized. Lineage: Eukaryota; Metazoa; Chordata; Mammalia; Rodentia; Muridae. The transcript has 3 exons. The record is from RefSeq and is a predicted model, not a curated record.